RNAcentral lists this ribosomal RNA (468 nucleotides) under uncultured bacterium. RNAcentral describes it as "partial 16S ribosomal RNA". It matches the Rfam family "Bacterial small subunit ribosomal RNA", at positions 28 to 507 of the family's 1533-position model. The record is from RNAcentral.
GACGAACGCUGGCGGCGUGCUUAACACAUGCAAGUCGAACGGAAAGGCCCUGCUUUUGUGGGGUGCUCGAGUGGCGAACGGGUGAGUAACACGUGAGUAACCUGCCCUUGACUUUGGGAUAACUUCAGGAAACUGGGGCUAAUACCGGAUAGGAGCUACCGCUGCAUGGUGGGGGUUGGAAAGUUUCGGCGGUUGGGGAUGGACUCGCGGCUUAUCAGCUUGUUGGUGGGGUAGUGGCUUACCAAGGCCUUGACGGGUAGCCGGCCUGAGAGGGUGACCGGCCACGUUGGGACUGAGAUACGGCCCAGACUCCUACGGGAGGCAGCAGUGGAGAAGAUUGCACAAUGGGCGGAAGCCUGAUGCAGCAACGCCGCGUGCGGGAUGACGUCCUUCGGGUUGUAAACCGCUUUCGCCUGUGACGAAGCGUGAGUGACGGUAAUGGGUAAAGAAGCACCGGCUAACUACGUG